GUAACGCGUGAGUAACCUGCCUUUCANAGGGGGAGUAACGUUCUGAAAAGAACGCUAAUACCGCAUGAGACUACAGAGCUGCAUGGCUCAGUGGUCAAAGGAGCAAUCCGCUGAAAGAUGGACUCGCGUCCGAUUAGCCAGUUGGCGGGGUAACGGCCCACCAAAGCGACGAUCGGUAGCCGGACUGAGAGGUUGAACGGCCACAUUGGGACUGAGACACGGCCCAGACUCCUACGGGAGGCAGCAUG
Molecule: ribosomal RNA, 248 nt
Filed under: uncultured bacterium
Lineage: Bacteria
Description: partial 16S ribosomal RNA
Rfam family: Bacterial small subunit ribosomal RNA
Source: RNAcentral